RNAcentral lists this ribosomal RNA (1494 nucleotides) under Triticum aestivum (bread wheat). RNAcentral describes it as "partial small subunit ribosomal RNA". Lineage: Eukaryota; Viridiplantae; Streptophyta; Magnoliopsida; Poales; Poaceae. The record is from RNAcentral.
AUGUUUGAACUGUUGCAGCAGCUGGGUUUUAGCAGUCGCUGGAGGGACUGGAUUGCCAUGCUGCUCAGAUCAUCCUCAUCCGCUUUCCUGCUGAACGGUGACCCUGGCAUCCCUCUCAUCCACCACCGUGGGCUGCAGCAAGGAGACCCGUUGUCCCCGCUGCUAUUUAUCCUUGCCAUUGACAUCCUCCACCGGCUCAUAGCAAAAGCUGUUGAUGACGACAUUCUUGCCCCGCUGCCUGGAAGAGAACUGCAACUGCGCACCAGCCUGUACGCGGACGAUGCUGUCAUCUUUGCAAACCCAGUUCAGGAAGAGCUCGACAAACUGUUUCAGAUCAUCACCAGCAUUGGGGAAACCUCAGGCCUGCACCUCAACAUCAGCAAGUGCACCAUCACGCCCAUUCGCUGUGAUCACAUUAACCUUCAGGAAGUUCUGCAUGCGUUUGGCGGACAGAUUGUUGCCUUCCCAAUACGAUACUUAGGAUUACCAAUAAGCCUCGGGCGUGCCAAAAUGGUUCACUUUCAGUUCAUCCUGGACCGCAUCCGAGCUCGUCUAGCUGGAUGGAAGCAUAAAUUGAUGAAUAUCGUAGGAAGAAGAGUGCUUGUUCGGAGCGUUCUCUCGGCGAUCCCAACUUUUGCACUCGCUGUUUUGCGGCCACCAAAGCUUCUCUUCAGAGAGAUUGAUAAAGCCCGCAGAAAGUUUCUUUGGACACAAGAUGAGGAGCUUACUGGUGGCAAAUGCAAGGUUGCCUGGAAGCAAGUUUGUACGCCGACGGAAUACGGAGGCCUAGGCAUCCAUGACCUACAAAAAUUCUCUCGCGCUUUGCGACUCAGAUGGUUGUGGCUGUCAUGGCAAACUGAAGACAGACCCUGGAAGGGCUCGGACCUACCUUGCGACAAGGAAGACAAAGCUUUGUUCGACCAUGCAACCUCUGUAACUCUUGGAAACGGCAUAACAGCUUCCUUCUGGCAAUCCCCAUGGAUCACCUCUCCAAGCCUUACCACUCUGUUUCCAGGACUGUUCAAGCGAUCACGGGGCAAAAACAGAUGCGUUGCUGAUGCGCUUGAAAAUGACAAAUGGGUGAUGGACAUGAAGAUACGACCCAACGAGAACCUGAUUCACAGCUUCAUCAUCCUAUGGAGAGCACUGCGGGCCGAAGCAAUAUCGCUGCAACCACAAGUGGAUGAUAAAAUCUCCUGGCAUCUUCACAGCGCGGUCGUUUACAGUGCAAAAUCUGCUUACAAAGAGCAAUUCAACAGCUUACUGAAGACGGACGACAAACACCUGAUAUGGAAAACAUUGGCACCUGGAAACUUAAAAGUUUUCUUCUGGCUCUUGCUCAAAAACCGUCUUUGGUGCAACGAUCGACUCCAACACAAAGGAUGGGAGAAUGGUUACUUCUGCGCUCUUUGCACAAGAAACCUUGAGACAUCAGUACAUCUCUUCUGGGAGUGCCCGAUCAGUAAGGAAAUAUGGCGAAGGAUCUCGUCCUGA